GACAUCCUACGGGGCGCAGCAGUGAGGAAUAUUGGUCAAUGGGCGGGAGCCUGAACCAGCCACGCCGCGUGAAGGAAGAAGGCGCCAGGCGUUGUAAACUUCUUUUGUCGGGGAACAAAGGCGGAGACGCGUCUCCGGAUGAGUGUACCCGAAGAAAAAGCAUCGGCUAACUCCGUGCCAGCAGCCGCGGUAAUACGGAGGAUGCGAGCGUUAUCCGGAUUUAUUGGGUUUAAAGGGUGCGCAGGCGGGAGAUCAAGUCAGCGGUAAAAUGUCGGGGCUCAACCCCGGCCGGCCGUUGA
This 299-nucleotide ribosomal RNA is filed under the name uncultured bacterium. RNAcentral describes it as "partial 16S ribosomal RNA". It matches the Rfam family "Bacterial small subunit ribosomal RNA", at positions 333 to 630 of the family's 1533-position model. The record is from RNAcentral.